This 809-nucleotide long non-coding RNA is filed under the name Citrus x clementina. Its description in RNAcentral is "Citrus clementina (C. clementina) long non-coding RNA (CCLE_LNC000920)". The record is from RNAcentral. Lineage: Eukaryota; Viridiplantae; Streptophyta; Magnoliopsida; Sapindales; Rutaceae.
CCCGCAAUACACGAUGAACAAAUCAUCAGCCGGAUUGACCCGGAAGCGAAGGCCGGUUUCUGGCUAUAAAAACCCAAGUCUUGUACUUCGGUUAAUUCCAUAACUCAAACAUUAAAAAUUUAUCAAACACCUCUAAUUAACAACAACAUCAUAAAAUGGCCUCUAGCAAUUGUUUCGUCUUAGCUUUGUUUGUGGCUUUGGCAUUUGCUUCAGUCGAUGAAGGGCUGGCAGCUCGUCAUCUAAUGCAAUUGCCAACGUUGCCACCUUUGCCUUCAAUUCCAGGGAUACCACAGCAGCCAACGUUGCCGCCGAUCCCAAGCGUCCCUCCAAUUCCAAGUAUCCCUAAAAUUCCAACUCCUCCUCCACUUCCAAGCAUCCCUUCAUUCCCUAAUAUACCAACUACGAUUCCUUCUAUCCCUUUCUUCUCUCCGCCUCCUUCUACGAAAAGCCCUUGAAUUCAUCUCCAUGCUGCUAGCUUGUUUGUGCCCCCGUUUUGCAGCAUGCAUGUCAAGAAGGGCCUUGAAUUUAUUUGUUACUGGGGAAUAUUACAAUUGACCCGCGGAUUUAGGUUGUUUGCGUUCUCUACUUCUAUGAAUAAAUUUUAUCAUUGUUCGAGGAUUGUUCUUUUAUAAUUAUUACUAAGAUUAUCAUUUUUGGCUGGUUUUGCCACGCUGUUUGCUUAUACGGGGACAUGGCUAUGAUACGGGGACUCAAAGUCCCUGUAUCAUAGAGGGGGUCAAUUUAUUGACCCCUUUGUUGUUUGGCUGCCAUCUGGCAGCCAAACAACUUUUUUGACUGGCAGCAACCGG